RNAcentral lists this ribosomal RNA (253 nucleotides) under uncultured bacterium. RNAcentral describes it as "partial 16S ribosomal RNA". It matches the Rfam family "Bacterial small subunit ribosomal RNA", at positions 524 to 776 of the family's 1533-position model. The record is from RNAcentral.
UACGUAGGUGGCAAGCGUUGUCCGGAAUUAUUGGGCGUAAAGCGCACGCAGGCGGUCUUGUAAGUUUGACGUGAAAGCUCCCGGCUUAACUGGGAGAGGUCGUUGAAGACUGCAAGACUUGAGGAAAUGAGAGGGGUGCAGAAUUCCCGGUGUAGUGGUGGAAUGCGUAGAUAUCGGGAGGAAUACCAGUGGCGAAAGCGGCACCCUAGCAUUUUUCUGACGCUCAUGUGCGAAAGCGUGGGGAGCGAACGGG